This is a long non-coding RNA of Brassica napus (rape), 1200 nucleotides long. RefSeq lists it as uncharacterized. The record is from RefSeq and is a predicted model, not a curated record. Lineage: Eukaryota; Viridiplantae; Streptophyta; Magnoliopsida; Brassicales; Brassicaceae. The transcript has 2 exons.
AAAUAUGCAUUAUUGGAUCAGAGGAACGAAAUAAUAGACAUAGAGCAUAUAACGUGCAUCGCAGAUUCGCAGAAGAGGGAGAAGAAAAAAACAAGAGCCUAGAGAUUAUGAUUGAGAGGACUGGAACUGAUUAGUGAUUAAUGUUUAACCAAGUCAGGAUCGGGCUUAAAGUUUUAGAAGGCUGAUGUAACAGAGGUGCCCUAUAGUAGACAAAACAAAAUAAAUCAAAAGGAGCUGGGCCAAUAGAAAAACAUAAAUCAAGGCUCGAACUUGGUUGAUAAUCCAAUGAUUAAAUCAGUUAAGAGCUUAACGCAUGACGAUUCCACCCUCGUGACAGUGUAUAUACACAUUUGUCACGUUUUUUUUGUCACAACACAUCCGGCCACUAGACAAAUAGAUAUUAUUGAUCUUACUGAUCAUGCAUCCUUUGCAUCACCAAAGGGCCACGAGGCCUGAUUAGGAGAUUGAUUAAUAGUUUUCUUUCGUUCUGUCUAUAUAAAGACAUUCCUUCUAAAGAGACUAACACACCUCUCUCCAGUGCCUCUCCCUCCCUCCCUCUUCAAAUCUCACCUCUUUGAUUGUAUCUCCAUCCAAAUAUUGAUUCAAGACUAUCCAAUGGGUCCAGCUAAAUUGCAAGAUCCACAUUUGGACGUCGAAGAAAAUAUUACAAUGAUACAAGAACACUUGAUAUGGCGCGAAUCUGACAUCAAUAAAAUUAAAGCAUUGUACUUAGCAGACACUUCCCCGGCCAAGAAACUGAAACCAAAAGCAAUGGAAAAAUGGCUGUUGUGACGUCGGAAAAAGGGGUCGUGACGGCUGAUCACGAGACAUGUUCCGAGAUCGGAGCUGACGUGCUAAGAAGACUCGGCGGCACCGCCGUGGAUGCCGCAGUGGCUGUCGCGUUUAGCUUAGGUGUGUAAUCCAUCGUCGAGUGGAAUCGGCGGUGGAUCCUUAAUGGUUGUGGGUUCAUCAGCCAGCUCGGUAGCCACGGCUUAUGAUAUGAGAGAAACCGCUCCAUUGGCUGCUUCACAAGUUCUUAAUAAAAACAUUUUACAUCUUUCAUUACAUUUUAUUUACUACUCUUUCACUUUCUUCAAAAGUGCCAUUUUAACAUUUUUCACACGAAUGUAUUUAUGUUUUAUUAAUUAUACAUAUUUAGCUAAUAAUGUUAGAGAUAAAUAAAAUUACAUAUAAGAUUAA